GGUGCUGAAGAAGCUGAUGGUGGUGAGGGCAACAUGAGAAAGCACAGAAGAGUGGUGUCUGAUACGGAAGAAGAUGAGCAGCAGCACAACAGUCACAAUGUGGCCUCCACAGAACCAGGCCAGGACAGCAGACAGGUGGAGCCAGAGGACGGUAACGUGAAUCAGAAGUCUGUGAGAUUCGGCAGUUUUGAACAGCAUGGAUCAUCUCUGAGUGAACAAAAUGAGAAGACUCCAGAUAAUCCUAUUCCGCCUCCAUGUCCAUGCAUAGAGAAAAGGGCACUGCCCUCCAGCACAAUUUCACAUUUUAAGCCUGCAAAGGCCUUGAAGUUUGACAUCCCAAAAGAAAAUCUACAAAUCAGCGAUGAAAUGGAAGAUCCGAUAGUGGGUGUGGCCAUGAGAAUAGUGGAAGACCGACACAGAGUCCGUGGAACGACAGAGAGAGGAAAGAAUGGCGAUGUGGCCAGCCCUGGGACCGCAGGGAGUGGGUCAGGGCAGAUUCGCGAUUGCCGCGGCUUGGUGCCUGAGGUGGAUGAUCGAGUGGAAAGGGUUGUGGGUGAGGUGAUUGCGGCAGAUGUCAAAAUGGUCUAUGUCUGCCCUGCGAAGCAUGAGAUUGACCGUGUAAACGAAGAUCCAGUGAAAGUGAAAUGCAAUGAAUGUGACAUCCACUACAAAAAAACAAAAAUGACCGUCCUCCUCGAGGGAACCAUUAUGAUUGAACGUGACCAUGGAAAGAGGUUCAAACUAAAUGACAGAAUUCUUAGGUCAUUCAUAGAUUGUGACUCUGUAGGAAUAAAUUCUAUUACCGAUCAACUACUUUAUUCAAAAUCUGUCAUCUUGACAAUUUAGAAUAAC
Long non-coding RNA from Anguilla rostrata (American eel), 852 nucleotides. RefSeq lists it as uncharacterized. The record is from RefSeq and is a predicted model, not a curated record. NCBI's taxonomy places the organism in Eukaryota, Metazoa, Chordata, Actinopteri, Anguilliformes, Anguillidae. The transcript is spliced from 4 exons.